UACGGAGGGUGCGAGCGUUAUCCGGAUUUACUGGGUUUAAAGGGUGUGUAGGCGGAUCUUUAAGUCAGUGGUGAAAUCUUCAGGCUCAACCUGGAAACUGCCAUUGAUACUAUUGAUCUUGAAUACUGUGGAGGUGAGCGGAAUGUGUCAUGUAGCGGUGAAAUGCAUAGAGAUGACACAGAACACCGAUUGCGAAGGCAGCUCACUACGCAGUUAUUGACGCUGAGGCACGAAAGCGUGGGGAUCAAACAGG
This 253-nucleotide ribosomal RNA is filed under the name uncultured bacterium. RNAcentral's name for it is "partial 16S ribosomal RNA". It matches the Rfam family "Bacterial small subunit ribosomal RNA", at positions 524 to 776 of the family's 1533-position model. The record is from RNAcentral.